This 541-nucleotide long non-coding RNA is filed under the name Pan troglodytes (chimpanzee). Its description in RNAcentral is "lincRNA". The record is from RNAcentral. Lineage: Eukaryota; Metazoa; Chordata; Mammalia; Primates; Hominidae.
AUAAGAUAGCUUCUCAGCUUUCAGCUUUACUUCAUGGUUUUAACUAUCAAAAGAAGCAAGCCAUCUGAAGAUUUGCCUGAGACUGAAGGAUCCACUUCUGCGACGACUCCCUCAGGACUUAUAAUGCAGAUGGAACCAGAUUGAGAACAACCAACCAACCAACCAACCAACCAACCAAUAUGAUGGCUGAACCAGACAAGAGAAGUCCCAAAGUAAAAUACCCAUCAAUUACCAGAAUCUGUGCCUGUCAUACAUCGAAGUCUCUGACUUCUUUAUUCCACAUGACUCUGCAAAUCUGCGUCUGAACUUAUAUUCUCCUGAAACCAGAACGGAUGAAACUCAUUAGAUGCUCCAGCCUGGGGGAUUAAUGUUUACCUUGAUUUAAUGUCUCAUCAGAAGCAUGACAUCCACAGCACUCUGGCUGCAGCAGGAUUAAAUGAAGCAUGGCCGUUUCUUCAAGAGAGACUUAAACUUCAAGCCUUUAGCCCUAGAGGGAAUGGGCAGGAGAUGAAGAGAGAGUAAAAAUCUUUUGAACUACCAA